Molecule: ribosomal RNA, 2881 nt
Filed under: Staphylococcus argenteus
Lineage: Bacteria; Bacillati; Bacillota; Bacilli; Caryophanales; Staphylococcaceae
Description: 23S ribosomal RNA
Source: RNAcentral
AAUCGCCGAUGAAGGACGUUACUAACGACGAUAUGCUUUGGGGAGCUGUAAGUAAGCUUUGAUCCAGAGAUUUCCGAAUGGGGAAACCCAACAUGAGUUAUGUCAUGUUAUCGAUAUGUGAAUACAUAGCAUAUCAGAAGGCACACCCGGAGAACUGAAACAUCUUAGUACCCGGAGGAAGAGAAAGAAAAUUCGAUUCCCUUAGUAGCGGCGAGCGAAACGGGAAGAGCCCAAACCAACAAGCUUGCUUGUUGGGGUUGUAGGACACUCUAUACGGAGUUACAAAGGACGACAUUAGACGAAUCAUCUGGAAAGAUGAAUCAAAGAAGGUAAUAAUCCUGUAGUCGAAAAUGUUGUCUCUCUUGAGUGGAUCCUGAGUACGACGGAGCACGUGAAAUUCCGUCGGAAUCUGGGAGGACCAUCUCCUAAGGCUAAAUACUCUCUAGUGACCGAUAGUGAACCAGUACCGUGAGGGAAAGGUGAAAAGCACCCCGGAAGGGGAGUGAAAUAGAACCUGAAACCGUGUGCUUACAAGUAGUCAGAGCCCGUUAAUGGGUGAUGGCGUGCCUUUUGUAGAAUGAACCGGCGAGUUACGAUUUGAUGCAAGGUUAAGCAGUAAAUGUGGAGCCGUAGCGAAAGCGAGUCUGAAUAGGGCGUUUAGUAUUUGGUCGUAGACCCGAAACCAGGUGAUCUACCCUUGGUCAGGUUGAAGUUCAGGUAACACUGAAUGGAGGACCGAACCGACUUACGUUGAAAAGUGAGCGGAUGAACUGAGGGUAGCGGAGAAAUUCCAAUCGAACCUGGAGAUAGCUGGUUCUCUCCGAAAUAGCUUUAGGGCUAGCCUCAAGUGAUGAUUAUUGGAGGUAGAGCACUGUUUGGACGAGGGGCCCCUCUCGGGUUACCGAAUUCAGACAAACUCCGAAUGCCAAUUAAUUUAACUUGGGAGUCAGAACAUGGGUGAUAAGGUCCGUGUUCGAAAGGGAAACAGCCCAGACCACCAGCUAAGGUCCCAAAAUAUAUGUUAAGUGGAAAAGGAUGUGGCGUUGCCCAGACAACUAGGAUGUUGGCUUAGAAGCAGCCAUCAUUUAAAGAGUGCGUAAUAGCUCACUAGUCGAGUGACACUGCGCCGAAAAUGUACCGGGGCUAAACAUAUUACCGAAGCUGUGGAUUGUMCUUUGGACAAUGGUAGGAGAGCGUUCUAAGGGCGUUGAAGCAUGAUCGYAAGGACAUGUGGAGCGCUUAGAAGUGAGAAUGCCGGUGUGAGUAGCGAAAGACGGGUGAGAAUCCCGUCYACCGAUUGACUAAGGUUUCCAGAGGAAGGCUCGUCCGCUCUGGGUUAGUCGGGUCCUAAGCUGAGGCCGACAGGCGUAGGCGAUGGAUAACAGGUUGAUAUUCCUGUACCACCUAUAAUCGUUUUAAUCGAUGGGGGGACGCAGUAGGAUAGGCGAAGCGUGCGAUUGGAUUGCACGUCUAAGCAGUAAGGCUGAGUAUUAGGCAAAUCCGGUACUCAUUAAGGCUGAGCUGUGAUGGGGAGAAGACAUUGUGUCUUCGAGUCGUUGAUUUCACACUGCCGAGAAAAGCCUCUAGAUAGAAAAUAGGUGCCCGUACCGCAAACCGACACAGGUAGUCAAGAUGAGAAUUCUAAGGUGAGCGAGCGAACUCUCGUUAAGGAACUCGGCAAAAUGACCCCGUAACUUCGGGAGAAGGGGUGCUCUUUAGGGUUAACGCCCAGAAGAGCCGCAGUGAAUAGGCCCAAGCGACUGUUUAUCAAAAACACAGGUCUCUGCUAAACCGUAAGGUGAUGUAUAGGGGCUGACGCCUGCCCGGUGCUGGAAGGUUAAGAGGAGUGGUUAGCUUCUGCGAAGCUACGAAUCGAAGCCCCAGUAAACGGCGGCCGUAACUAUAACGGUCCUAAGGUAGCGAAAUUCCUUGUCGGGUAAGUUCCGACCCGCACGAAAGGCGUAACGAUUUGGGCACUGUCUCAACGAGAGACUCGGUGAAAUCAUAGUACCUGUGAAGAUGCAGGUUACCCGCGACAGGACGGAAAGACCCCGUGGAGCUUUACUGUAGCCUGAUAUUGAAAUUCGGCACAGCUUGUACAGGAUAGGUAGGAGCCUUUGAAACGUGAGCGCUAGCUUACGUGGAGGCGCUGGUGGGAUACUACCCUAGCUGUGUUGGCUUUCUAACCCGCACCACUUAUCGUGGUGGGAGACAGUGUCAGGCGGGCAGUUUGACUGGGGCGGUCGCCUCCUAAAAGGUAACGGAGGCGCUCAAAGGUUCCCUCAGAAUGGUUGGAAAUCAUUCAUAGAGUGUAAAGGCAUAAGGGAGCUUGACUGCGAGACCUACAAGUCGAGCAGGGUCGAAAGACGGACUUAGUGAUCCGGUGGUUCCGCAUGGAAGGGCCAUCGCUCAACGGAUAAAAGCUACCCCGGGGAUAACAGGCUUAUCUCCCCCAAGAGUUCACAUCGACGGGGAGGUUUGGCACCUCGAUGUCGGCUCAUCGCAUCCUGGGGCUGUAGUCGGUCCCAAGGGUUGGGCUGUUCGCCCAUUAAAGCGGUACGCGAGCUGGGUUCAGAACGUCGUGAGACAGUUCGGUCCCUAUCCGUCGUGGGCGUAGGAAAUUUGAGAGGAGCUGUCCUUAGUACGAGAGGACCGGGAUGGACAUACCUCUGGUGUACCAGUUGUCGUGCCAACGGCAUAGCUGGGUAGCUAUGUGUGGACGGGAUAAGUGCUGAAAGCAUCUAAGCAUGAAGCCCCCCUCAAGAUGAGAUUUCCCAACUUCGGUUAUAAGAUCCCUCAAAGAUGAUGAGGUUAAUAGGUUCGAGGUGGAAGCAUGGUGACAUGUGGAGCUGACGAAUACUAAUCGAUCGAAGACUUAAUC